GUUACGGAUUCGAGCUUGAACGCAUGCGAGAAGGUGUACAAUUCUGCAUGGUAUAGUGCAAGUGCUUCAGAGCAGAAAUCAUUAUUGUUAAUAAUGAAACGACGCUUCCACCCGCUUAUUUUAACUGCAUGUAGGUUUUACGUGAUGUCCUUGCAGAAUUUCGGAAUGAUACUUCAAACGGCGGUCUCCUAUUG
Trachymyrmex cornetzi is the source of this 194-nucleotide long non-coding RNA. RefSeq lists it as uncharacterized. The record is from RefSeq and is a predicted model, not a curated record. The transcript has 3 exons. NCBI's taxonomy places the organism in Eukaryota, Metazoa, Arthropoda, Insecta, Hymenoptera, Formicidae.